UUUGUACUCCCUCCGUCCGAAAAUACUUGUCAUUGAAAUUGAUGUAUGUAGAUGUAUUUUAGUUCUAGACACAUCCAUUUUGAUGACAAGUAAUUUUGGACGGAGGGAAUACUUG
Non-coding RNA from Triticum aestivum (bread wheat), 115 nucleotides. Lineage: Eukaryota; Viridiplantae; Streptophyta; Magnoliopsida; Poales; Poaceae. The record is from Rfam.